This 301-nucleotide ribosomal RNA is filed under the name uncultured bacterium. Its description in RNAcentral is "partial 16S ribosomal RNA". It matches the Rfam family "Bacterial small subunit ribosomal RNA", at positions 509 to 808 of the family's 1533-position model. The record is from RNAcentral.
CAGUAGCCGCGGGAAUACGUAGGGCGCAAGCGUUGUCCGGAAUUAUUGGGCGUAAAGAGCUCGUAGGCGGUCUGUCGCGUCUGGUGUGAAAUCCCGAGGCUCAACCUCGGGCUUGCAUCGGGUACGGGCAGACUAGAGUGCGGUAGGGGAGACUGGAAUUCCUGGUGUAGCGGUGGAAUGCGCAGAUAUCAGGAGGAACACCGAUGGCGAAGGCAGGUCUCUGGGCCGCAACUGACGCUGAGGAGCGAAAGCAUGGGGAGCGAACAGGAUUAGAUACCCCAGUAGUCCUGUCUCUUAUACC